UUCACAAUAAAGACAUGUUCAAGAGAUUGUGAAUUUUUUUUUAUAUUCAAAAUUCACUUCAGGUUCACUCCUAUUUUCUCCAUUGCAAACUCUGGUUGCCCAUCAUCCUCUUCUCCAUCAUUUUCCUCCUUAGAAUCCUCAUUCGUACCAAAUAUAUCAUCAAGAAAAUCUUGCUCCUGCUCAGUGCUCUUGUCAUUCUUAUUGAAAACUUCACUUGAAGCAUUUUGGUCUUCUUUUGAUUUGUCAUAAUUUCCAAGA
RNAcentral lists this unclassified non-coding RNA (258 nucleotides) under Hevea brasiliensis (rubber tree). Lineage: Eukaryota; Viridiplantae; Streptophyta; Magnoliopsida; Malpighiales; Euphorbiaceae. The record is from RNAcentral.